This 209-nucleotide unclassified non-coding RNA is filed under the name Hevea brasiliensis (rubber tree). Lineage: Eukaryota; Viridiplantae; Streptophyta; Magnoliopsida; Malpighiales; Euphorbiaceae. The record is from RNAcentral.
GUGGUCGAUAUGGCUCCUUCAUUUCGCAUUUUCAAGAGUGGCGGCGUCGAGCGCCUCAUAGGGACUGACUUCGUCCCAGCAUCCGUCGACCCCGCCACCGGCGUUGCCUCCAAGGACGUCAAAAUCGACCCAACGACCGGCGUCUCGGCUCGCCUCUACCUCCCCACCCUUCCCUCCCGAUCUUUCAAGCUCCCCAUCCUCGUCUACUA